GAUGAACGCUAGCUACAGGCUUAACACAUGCAAGUCGAGGGGUAGCAGGGUAGCAAUACCGCUGACGACCGGCGCACGGGUGAGUAACACGUAUCCAACCUUCCCAUAACUCGGGGAUAGCCUUUCGAAAGAAAGAUUAAUACCCGAUAGUACUUUAUCAAGGCAUCUUUUUAAAGUUAAAGAUUUAUUGGUUAUGGAUGGGGAUGCGUUCCAUUAGAUAGUUGGUGAGGUAACGGCUCACCAAGUCUUCGAUGGAUAGGGGUUCUGAGAGGAAGGUCCCCCACAUUGGUACUGAGACACGGACCAAACUCCUACGGGAGGCAGCAGUGAGGAAUAUUGGUCAAUGGGCGAGAGCCUGAACCAGCCAAGUAGCGUGAAGGAUGAAGGUCCUAUGGAUUGUAAACUUCUUUUAUAGUAGAAUAAAGUGAGCCACGUGUGGUUUUUGUAUGUAUACUAUGAAUAAGGAUCGGCUAACUCCGUG
Molecule: ribosomal RNA, 481 nt
Filed under: uncultured bacterium
Lineage: Bacteria
Description: bacterial SSU rRNA
Rfam family: Bacterial small subunit ribosomal RNA
Source: RNAcentral